Molecule: long non-coding RNA, 228 nt
Filed under: Amborella trichopoda
Lineage: Eukaryota; Viridiplantae; Streptophyta; Magnoliopsida; Amborellales; Amborellaceae
Description: long non-coding RNA (ATRI_LNC000402)
Source: RNAcentral
CCAUCUCGGUUGCUGCCCUCUCUCUCGCUCUCUAUCCCCAAUCCUCACCGAAACCCCACUGCAACCUAUUGCUCUCUCUCUAAAGUCUCUGCAACUCUCACCUACACUGCAACCUUCUGCUCUCUCUCUUACUCUAAAAACAAACCACACAGCCUCCUCUCAUCCUCUCCCUGCCGCCUGCAACCUCCGGCGCUUCCAAGAUCUUCCUCUCUGUAAUUUCAGGCUUUC